Molecule: ribosomal RNA, 268 nt
Filed under: uncultured bacterium
Lineage: Bacteria
Description: partial 16S ribosomal RNA
Rfam family: Bacterial small subunit ribosomal RNA
Source: RNAcentral
GUUACAAUGGCAGGUACAGAGGGGUGCUACCGGGUGACCGGAUGCCGAUCUCGAAAACCUGUCCCAGUUCGGACUGGAGUCUGCAACCCGACUCCACGAAGUUGGAUUCGCUAGUAAUCGCGCAUCAGCCAUGGCGCGGUGAAUACGUUCCCGGGCCUUGUACACACCGCCCGUCAAGCCAUGGGAGCCGGGGGCGCCUGAAGUCCGGGACCGCGAGGACCGGCCUAGGGCGAAACUGGUGACUGGGGCUAAGUCGUAACAAGGUAAC